GACGAACGCUGGCGGCGUGCCUAAUACAUGCAAGUCGAGCGCAGGAAAUCAUCCGAACCCUUCGGGGGGACGUUGGUGGAAUGAGCGGCGGACGGGUGAGUAACACGUAAAGAACCUGCCCUCAGGUCUGGGAUAACCACGAGAAAUCGGGGCUAAUACCGGAUGGGUCAUCGGACCGCAUGGCCCGAGGAUGAAAGGCGCUUCAGCGUCGCCUGGGGAUGGCUUUGCGGUGCAUUAGCUAGUUGGUGGGGUAAUGGCCCACCAAGGCGACGAUGCAUAGCCGACCUGAGAGGGUGAUCGGCCACACUGGGACUGAGACACGGCCCAGACUCCUACGGGAGGCAGCAGUAGGGAAUCUUCCACAAUGGACGAAAGUCUGAUGGAGCAACGCCGCGUGAACGAUGAAGGCCUUCGGGUCGUAAAGUUCUGUUGUAAGGGAAGAACAAGUGCCGCAGGCAAUGGCGGCACCUUGACGGUACCUUGCGAGAAAGCCACGGCUAACUACGUGCCAGCCGCCGCAGUAA
Molecule: ribosomal RNA, 524 nt
Filed under: uncultured bacterium
Lineage: Bacteria
Description: partial 16S ribosomal RNA
Rfam family: Bacterial small subunit ribosomal RNA
Source: RNAcentral